RNAcentral lists this ribosomal RNA (500 nucleotides) under Enterococcus durans. RNAcentral describes it as "bacterial SSU rRNA". It matches the Rfam family "Bacterial small subunit ribosomal RNA", at positions 108 to 594 of the family's 1533-position model. The record is from RNAcentral. Lineage: Bacteria; Bacillati; Bacillota; Bacilli; Lactobacillales; Enterococcaceae.
GAGUAACACGUGGGUAACCUGCCCAUCAAAAGGGGAUAACACUUGGAAACAGGUGCUAAUACCGUAUAACAAUCGAAACCGCAUGGUUUUGAUUUGAAAGGCGCUUUCGGGUGUCGCUGAUGGAUGGACCCGCGGUGCAUUAGCUAGUUGGUGAGGUAACGGCUCACCAAGGCCACGAUGCAUAGCCGACCUGAGAGGGUGAUCGGCCACAUUGGGACUGAGACACGGCCCAAACUCCUACGGGAGGCAGCAGUAGGGAAUCUUCGGCAAUGGACGAAAGUCUGACCGAGCAACGCCGCGUGAGUGAAGAAGGUUUUCGGAUCGUAAAACUCUGUUGUUAGAGAAGAACAAGGAUGAGAGUAACUGUUCAUCCCUUGACGGUAUCUAACCAAAAAGCCACGGCUAACUACGUGCCAGCAGCCGCGGUAAUACGUAGGUGGCAAGCGUUGUCCGGAUUUAUUGGGCGUAAAGCGAGCGCAGGCGGUUUCUUAAGUCUGAUG